Molecule: ribosomal RNA, 796 nt
Filed under: Hypogymnia tubulosa
Lineage: Eukaryota; Fungi; Ascomycota; Lecanoromycetes; Lecanorales; Parmeliaceae
Description: partial large subunit ribosomal RNA
Rfam family: Eukaryotic large subunit ribosomal RNA
Source: RNAcentral
GAAGCGGGCAACAGCUCAAAUUUGAAAUCUGGCCCCUUUCGGGGGUCCGAGUUGUAAUUUGUAGAGAGUGUUUCGGGUGAGACCACGGUCUAAGUCCAUUGGAACAUGGCGUCAUAGAGGGUGAGAAUCCCGUAUGUGACUGUGGAUCGAGCCCAUGUGAAGCCUCUUCGACGAGUCGAGUUGUUUGGGAAUGCAGCUCAAAAUGGGUGGUAAAUUUCAUCUAAAGCUAAAUACUGGCUGGAGACCGAUAGCGCACAAGUAGAGUGAUCGAAAGAUGAAAAGCACUUUGGAAAGAGAGUCAAACAGUACGUGAAAUUGUUGAAAGGGAAGCGCUUGCAACCAGACCUGUCCGUAGGUGAUCAGCCGCUGUUCUCAGUGGUGCACUCGCUCUGCGAUCAGGCCAGCAUCGGUUCGGGCGGUCGGAUAAAGGCCUUGGGAAUGUAGCUUCCUUCGGGGAGUCUUAUAGCCCUCGGUGCAAUGCGGCCAGCCGGGGCCGAGGACCGCGCUUCGGCUAGGAUGCUGGCGUAAUGGUUGUAAGCGACCCGUCUUGAAACACGGACCAAGGAGUCUAACAUCUAUGCGAGUGUUUGGGCGUUAAACCCAUGCGCGGAAUGAAAGUGAACGGAGGUGAGAACCCUUAAGGGCGCAUCAUCGACCGAUCCAGAUGUCUUCGGAUGGAUUUGAGUAUGAGCAUAACUGUUGGGACCCGAAAGAUGAUGAACUAUGCCCGAAUAGGGUGAAGCCAGAGGAAACUCUGGUGGAGGCUCGCAGCGGUUCUGACGUGCAAAUCGAUCGU